GUGGAGAUAAGAAUAAAUUCAGGGAAGAAGCAGAAGGCCAAAAGUGGAGCAGCCAUCUACAGGUGCACUUUUAAAAGGGAGUGGACAGCAGAAUGGCCCUUCAUUAGUGUAGGCACAACCACCGCCUACUUUUGGUGCUCUGUUUGCCGACAUGAGAACAGCUGUGCCCAUCAAGGCAAGGCUGAUGUCGCAAGGCAUAUCAAAAGCAAAAUACAUCGUUCAAAAGAACAGGCAGCACAGUCAACAGCCAGCAUUGCGCCAUAUUAUGGCCCAGCCACUGUUGGUGGCAUGACAUCUCAGGAAGUCAAGACAAGGAGAGCUGAGGUAAAGUUAGCAGUGUCGAUGGUGGAACACAAUGUGCCAUUUGCAGUAGCCGAUCACUUCAGCCCAUUGCUGAAAGAAUGCUUCAAAGAUUCCCCUACUGCACAGAGCUUCAAGGCUGCCCGCACAAAAAUGUCCUGCAUAAUAAAUGAAGCAGUGGCUCCUCACUUUGGAAAGGAACUGGUCAUGAAGAUGAGGACCAAUCCUUUCACGUUGAUCACAGAUGGAUCAAAUGAUACAGGACGUGAGAAGAUGAACCCGCUCACUGUGCGGGUAUAUGACAGUGAUCUCAGCAAAGUUGUCCACAGGUUCCUGGAUAUGUGCCCCACCAGCGGGCCAAACUGCGGCACAGCUGAAGUCAUCUACAAGAAGAUGGAUGAGGCCAUGCAGAAAAACGCCAUACCAUGGAGAAACUGUGUCAGUCUGUCAGUUGAUAAUGCCCCUGUCAAUACAGGAGCAAGGGACUCCAUCGCAUCCAGAGCUCAUCAAGAACAUGGCAGUAUCUACAUCCAUGGGUGCCCUUGUCACCCAUGGAUGUAGGAUCUCGCUGUGGAUGUUGGAUAUAGGUUUAAAGGAAGCACCAAUCGCAAAGGUUACCUAACAGAAUUCUGUGAGCUCCAUGGAAGUGAGUAUAUGGAAAUGCUCAUGCACGUUUCUGUUCGAUGGUUGAGCCUGGAGAAGUGUUUGACUCGUAUCCUGCAGCAGUAUGAGCCACUGGCCAGCUACUUCAAGUCAUUAAAUGACAAACAGCCAAGGUUCAGGAGGCUUGUGGAGGCAUUCUCUGACUCAAUUACAGAGGUGUACCUACUGUUCUUUCAAGCAACUUUUCCAGUCUUCUCCACAUUCAACCUCCUCCUCCAGAGAGAGAAGUCGUCAAUCUUCCUACUACAUGAUGAGAUGAGGGGUUUUAUCCGCAAGCUGCUCUCAAAGUUUCUGAAGCCCGCAGCAUUGCAGCACCGGGAACUGCAUGAAAUAUGCUUUAAGGAGCCAUCCAACCAACUGCCAGGAGAAAAGUUGGUGAUUGGCUUCACUACUCGAGUUACACUCAACAGGCUCCUUGAAGCAGGAGCCAUUACACCGCAGCAAGUGCAGAGGUUCCAGAAGGCAGCAGUGGCGUUUCUGGAAAGGGCUGUGGAGUAUGCCAUCAAGAAACUCCCCAUGAAAGAGCCUCUGAUUAAACAUGCCAUGUUUCUGGAUGUCCAGCAGAGUGUGGAGUGGAAGAUGCCUUCUACUUUGUCAAGUUGGGCUAUCAAAUUUCCUGAACUUCUCCCAUACAAUGGACCUGAAGAGCAUGACAAACUUUGUGAGGAGUUUCUGGACUACCAGACCAUGGACAUUGCCAUGCCCGACGACCCAGCAAUGUUUGACUUUGAGAGAUUUUGGGGGAACAUGGCAUCAAUGAAGAACAAGGUGACCGGUAUGAGCAGAUUUGGCAGGCUGUCUUAGAUAUUAGAAGAGCCGAAUUAAAUCCUCCCUUCGUCGUAGAGCUCGAGCAUGUGGCGCCUGUGGCCAGGGAUCUCUGGGCAUCGGGUCAUCUGGCUGCAGGUCGGCAAAUGGCACCCCAUUUGCCAGCGCAAUAUUAUGCAGAACCCCACAUGCUAAAAUAAUAUUGCAUGUCUUUUCUGGGCUGUAGAGCAACGUUCCCCCCGCUGACCCGAUGGACAUCCACCUGCCCUUGAGUAGGCCUAUACAUCGC
Gadus morhua (Atlantic cod) is the source of this 2017-nucleotide long non-coding RNA. Lineage: Eukaryota; Metazoa; Chordata; Actinopteri; Gadiformes; Gadidae. The record is from Ensembl.